This 72-nucleotide non-coding RNA is filed under the name Robinsoniella peoriensis. Lineage: Bacteria; Bacillati; Bacillota; Clostridia; Lachnospirales; Lachnospiraceae. The record is from RNAcentral.
UAACCAUCGUCGAAAGGCGGUGCUGAACGUACAGAAGUCAGCAGAGGCCAUAGUAGCCGAGAGGUAAAGGGC